GAUGAACGCUGGCGGCGUGCCUAAUACAUGCAAGUCGAACGCACAGCGAAAGGUGCUUGCACCUUUCAAGUGAGUGGCGAACUGGUGAGUAACACGUGGACAACCUGCCGCAAGGAUGAGGAGAACACUUCGAAACAGAUGCCAAUACCGAAUAAAACUUAGUGUCGCAUGACACAAAGAUAAAAGGCGCUCCGGCGUCACCUAGAGAUGGAUCAGGGCUUCAUUAGUUAGUUGGUGGGGUAAAGGCCUACCAAGUCAAUGGGGAAUAGCUGAGUGGAGAGACUGUUAGGCGACAUUGCGAGUGAGACAUGGCCCACACUGCUACGGGAAGACGCAGUAGGCACUCAUCCGCAACAGGCGAAAGCAUGAUGGAGCAACGCGGGAUGUGUGAAGAAGGCAAUGGGGUCGUAAAGUACUGUGGCAUGGGAAGAACAGCUAGAAUAGGAGAUGAUUUUAGUUUGACGGUACCAUACCAGAAAGGGACGGCUAAAUACGUG
Molecule: ribosomal RNA, 497 nt
Filed under: uncultured bacterium
Lineage: Bacteria
Description: partial 16S ribosomal RNA
Rfam family: Bacterial small subunit ribosomal RNA
Source: RNAcentral